This 201-nucleotide microRNA precursor is filed under the name Oryza barthii. RNAcentral describes it as "MIR812 microRNA precursor family". It matches the Rfam family "MIR812 microRNA precursor family". Lineage: Eukaryota; Viridiplantae; Streptophyta; Magnoliopsida; Poales; Poaceae. The record is from Rfam by way of RNAcentral.
AAUAAGUGCAGCUAUGGUUUUCAGCGCUCAACUUUGACCAUUCGUCUUAUUUGAAAUUUUUUUUAAAAAAAUUAAAGACAUAAGUCACGAGUAAAGUACUAUCCAUGUUUUAUCAUCUUAUAACAACAAAAAUGCUAUAAAAAAAUUUUAAAUAAAACGGACGAUUAAAGUUGGAUAUGAAAACUCAUGGCUGCACUUAUU